AUCUAUGGCCAUACCACCCUGAACACACCCCAUCUUGUCUGAUCUUGGAAGCUAAGCAGGGUCAGGCCUGGUUAGUACUUGGAUGGAAGACAACCUGGGAAUACCGGGUACUGUAGGCU
This 119-nucleotide ribosomal RNA is filed under the name Saimiri boliviensis boliviensis (Bolivian squirrel monkey). Lineage: Eukaryota; Metazoa; Chordata; Mammalia; Primates; Cebidae. The record is from RNAcentral.